Cinara cedri is the source of this 974-nucleotide non-coding RNA. The record is from the annotation of a GenBank genome assembly. Lineage: Eukaryota; Metazoa; Arthropoda; Insecta; Hemiptera; Aphididae.
CACAUAUUAUAUUAUAUAAAUUAUUAAUAGUACAAGUGCGAUCAAGAGGGGCUGCGUAACCAUAGUUAGUACUUUAGUAGCAUGAUAUUUCGUUUUAAAACUUUGAGAAUUUCUAGAAUAAAAAAAAGAAACCAUUAAUGAUAAUUUGGAAAGUAAAUCUGGGGCAUCUGUCUUAUUAUUAAUUAAUUGCAGAUUAAUUCCGCAACAAAAUAAGCACACUUUUAUGCACAUCAUUAUAGAAUAAUUGAUGAAGUGACUAAAUAAUAGAAGACUAUUCAAACAUCGAACGAACUAAAGCCAUAUAGAGAGUGUUUAAUGCGUAAAUAUUAGAGAAACCAAAAGUGUUACGAUUUAUAAACCCAAGCGUCUUUAUUGAUUUGUUACAAACAUGAUUAAUAUGAUCUUUAAAUUAUAGAUCGUAAUGUAAGAAAUAAAUCAAAUAAUUAAUAACGGGAACGAAAAUUAAAUAUAUAUAUAUAUUCAAUUCCAUAUUUUUUUAUCAAAUAACAUAUAUUUUAAUGCGGUAUUUACUCAUCGUAAGGAUAUGAUACUUAAGCUAUCAUAUAUAAUUAAAAUAAAAUGUAUUAUCAAUAUUGUUAAAUAAUCAUAAUAAUUUAUAGCCAUUAAUUAUUAGAUUGAGUUGUUAGUAUUAACCAGAUUAAGAUAAUACAUUUACACACGCACACACACAUAGAUCUCCAGUUAUAAGGAGGCCGGCCACUUCUAAUCAAACCUCAGUGUAUGUAUCGUUCCCGUUGCUUUUGGACAGUUGAUCACAAGCGAGUGUAAAAGACUACGCACAGAUUCUUACAAAAGCACGGAAAAAUAGAACAGUGUUUUAUAUUUAAAAAAAAACUAAUAAAAAAAAAAACAGUUGUUACAUUAAAAUCGUUUUAUUUACUUCGGUCACCUUUAUCAAAUUCAACAGAUCAAUUUGCCGCCUGAAGAAGAAAGGUAAUCAAAUUUAUAAUUAA